Long non-coding RNA from Coffea eugenioides, 458 nucleotides. RefSeq lists it as uncharacterized. Lineage: Eukaryota; Viridiplantae; Streptophyta; Magnoliopsida; Gentianales; Rubiaceae. The transcript has 2 exons. The record is from RefSeq and is a predicted model, not a curated record.
GGGUUUUGGGGAACGGGUUGCCGCUGCGUCUGCCUUUAUAAGAGUAAUAAUAGACGACAGACACUCAAAGAAGAGGUUAGGGACUGAGGAGCCGCGGGUCUUGACUGCUUUGCUUCUUUCCGAGUUUGUUUGUUUGUAGAUAGACUAUUCUCUUCUGGAUGAUAGAUCAGAUGCUGAGCCUGAAAGUUUGAAACUAUUUAUAUGUUUGCUAAUAAUUCUAGAAAGUAGUUCUUUGGGAUUCAAAGAGCUUCCUAUGGCUUCUCUGCCUAAUAUUGCAAUUCCUCGUUCCUCCGACUGCUCUGUGGUAUCUCAAGUGAAUUGAGGAAUCUAUCGUUGGGCAAAACUGAACGUUUUUGGCGCACGAAAAUUGGAGCUUGGCGCUGGAGUGUGAGUUUUCCUCUUGGAUGCUUUAGUAAAGUAUGGUUUCUUGCAAAUUGAUAGUGCAUAAUUAUUGUGUA